Molecule: ribosomal RNA, 229 nt
Filed under: uncultured bacterium
Lineage: Bacteria
Description: partial 16S ribosomal RNA
Rfam family: Bacterial small subunit ribosomal RNA
Source: RNAcentral
CGUGUAGGCGGCUUGGUAAGUCAGAUGUGAAAGCCCAGGGCUCAACCCUGGAAGUGCAUUUGAUACUGCCAUGCUUGAGUAUGGGAGAGGAGAGCGGAAUUCCCAGUGUAGAGCUGAAAUUCGUAGAUAUUGGGAGGAACACCCGUGGCGAAGGCGGCUCUCUGGACCAAUACUGACGCUGAGACGCGAAAGCGUGGGGAGCAAACAGGAUUAGAUACCCUGGUAGUCC